CUUCGGUAGUGCUAAAGUGCUUAUAGUGCAGGUAGUAAUUAGUGUUCUACUGCAUCAUGAGCACUUAAAGUACUUCUGGCU
Molecule: microRNA precursor, 81 nt
Filed under: Pelobates cultripes (western spadefoot toad)
Lineage: Eukaryota; Metazoa; Chordata; Amphibia; Anura; Pelobatidae
Rfam family: mir-17 microRNA precursor family
About the family: This family represents the microRNA (miRNA) precursor mir-17, family, which includes mir-20, mir-91, and mir-103. miRNAs are transcribed as ~70nt precursors (modelled here) and subsequently processed by the Dicer enzyme to give a ~22nt product.
Source: RNAcentral